GACGAACGCUGGCGGCGCGCCUAACACAUGCAAGUCGAACGAGCGAGAGAGAGCUUGCUUUCUCGAGCGAGUGGCGAACGGGUGAGUAACGCGUGAGGAACCUGCCUCAAAGAGGGGGACAACAGUUGGAAACGACUGCUAAUACCGCAUAAGCCCACGACCCGGCAUCGGGUAGAGGGAAAAGGAGCAAUCCGCUUUGAGAUGGCCUCGCGUCCGAUUAGCUAGUUGGUGAGGUAACGGCCCACCAAGGCAACGAUCGGUAGCCGGACUGAGAGGUUGAACGGCCACAUUGGGACUGAGACACGGCCCAGACUCCUACGGGAGGCAGCAGUGGGGAAUAUUGGGCAAUGGGCGCAAGCCUGACCCAGCAACGCCGCGUGAAGGAAGAAGGCUUUCGGGUUGUAAACGUUCUUUUAAGAGGGAAGAGCAGAAGACUGUACCUCUAGAAUAAGCCACGGCUAACUACGUG
RNAcentral lists this ribosomal RNA (469 nucleotides) under uncultured bacterium. Its description in RNAcentral is "bacterial SSU rRNA". It matches the Rfam family "Bacterial small subunit ribosomal RNA", at positions 28 to 507 of the family's 1533-position model. The record is from RNAcentral.